RNAcentral lists this long non-coding RNA (4023 nucleotides) under Sus scrofa (pig). Its description in RNAcentral is "lncRNA (ENSSSCG00050009863.1)". Lineage: Eukaryota; Metazoa; Chordata; Mammalia; Artiodactyla; Suidae. The record is from RNAcentral.
UAUUAUCAUAAAAAUUACAUCUUUAAACAUUAUGUGCCCAUCAGCACAGAUUUACAACUCUUCUUUAUAAAAUUUUUUAAAUAAGAUAGGAAAAAAAAACUGAAAACAAAACAUGCAUUGAAACUUUUUAAGUAUAUACUUUCAUAGUUACCUUUAUUGAGACUCUAUUUCUUCAUGUGAAAUGGUUACUGUCUUGUAUUCUUCCAGUUCAGCCUGAUGGAAUCCCUGUAGUAUUUCUUGUAUGACAGAUUUGAUAAUGAUAAAUUCUCUUAGUUUUUGUUUAUUGGGCAAUGUCUUAAUUUCUCCCUUAUUUUUAAAGGGCUUUUGUUUCUGGACAGAGAAUUUUUGGUUGAUAGUCCUUUUCUUUCAGCACUUUAAAUGUGCUAUACCAGUUAUUUCUGGCCUCCAUGGUUUUUAAGUAGAAAUUAGCUUUUAAUUUUAUGAGAAAACCCUGGUACAUGAUAAAUCUUUUCUUCUCUCCUUUCUUUCAAAAUUCUCUAUUUGUCUUUGAUUGUCAACAGUUUAAUCAUGAAAUGUCUAGCCUUGGGUCUCUGAGUUUAUUCUACCUGGAGUAUGCUGAGCUUCUUAAAUGUGUAAAUUAAUGCUUUUCAUCAAAUUUUGGAAGUUUUUUCGAUUACCUCCUAAAAUAUUCUUUCUACACUUUUUUCUCUCUCCUCUCUUUCUGGGGCAUUCAUUAUUCAUAUAUUGAUAUGCUUGAUGGUAUUUCAUAGGUCUUUAAGGCUCUGUACAUUUCUCUUCAUGAUUUUUGUUUUUUAGAAUAUAUAAUUUCAAUUGGCUGCUUUUCAUAUUUGACUUAUAUUUUCUAUUUGCUAAGACUUAAUUUUGAUACUUCCUUUUCAUUCCAUAGACAUAGUUUCUCUUAGUUCUUUGAACAUAUUUAACAUAGCAGUUUAAAUUCUUUCUCUAGGAAUUCUAGUGUCUGGGCUUCCUCAGAAACAGUUUCUAUUGAUUUAUUUUUCCCCUUGUUUAUGGGCCAGACAUUCUCAUUCCUUUGCCUGUCUCACAAUUUGUUGUUGAAAACUGGAUAUUUUAAACAAUAGAAUAUGUCAGCUGUAGAAGUUAGAUUCUCCUCUCUCAUCAGGCCUUGUUGUUGCUAAUUUUUUUUUUUUUUUUUUUGUCUUUUUGUCUUUUGUUGUUGUUGUUGCUAUCUCUUGGGCCGCUUCCGCGGCAUAUGGAGGUUCCCAGGCUAGGGGUCGAAUCGGAGCUGUAGCCACCGGCCUACGCCAGAGCCACAGCAACGCGGGAUCCGAGCCACGUCUGCAACCUACACCACAGCUCACGGCAACGCCGGAUCGUUAACCCACUGAGCAAGGGCAGGGACCGAACCCGCAACCUCAUGGUUCCUAGUCGGAUUCGUUAACCACUGCGCCACGACGGGAACUCCUGUUGUUGCUAAUUUUUAGUGACUUUUUGAAAAGUCUCCCAGUCUUUGUCAAGAGAUUUUGUGCUCAUACGGGGGCAUCCCUUCAACACUCAGUGAGGCUAUUGAAAACUCCUGCUUAGCCUUUAUUUCCUGCUUAUGUAGAGUUUCAAAGUCAACCAGAAUUGAGAGCCUUAAGGACUUCUCAGGUCUUUCGUGAGCAUGCACGUACUUCUGGACAUGUGCACAGUUACCAUAUAUGCAUACAGUCCUUUAGAUUUCUAGGAAUAUGUUGGAACUUUUCAGUGUCCUGAUGGACAUCUCAUUCCUUACCUUUCCUUUUUAGGCUUUUUAGGCAACCUGUUUUUGCUCCAACUGUUAUACACCACUGCAGGCAGCCACAAAUAUUAAAUAAUUGCCUCUCAUUGUUUUUGAUAAAUGGCCUGAGGAAAAGUCUUUUCCCACUGAGUGAACUUGAAAGAGAUUGAAUAAAGACAGCAUUGCAAAUAGAAUCUUCCAGAGAGUCACUAGAUAUGUCAAAUAAUAACAAUUUUCUGAGAAUGAGCUUUGAAGGAACUCCAACUUCUUUUUGUGACUGCUAGGCUGCUAGCUUUGCUGUGUUUUUAAGGUUAUUGUGCAGUUGAAGAGGGUGGGAGAAUUGGGAAUGCAGCAAGUUAAAAAUGCCACAAUGUUUGCUCUUCUUACUAAGAUACUGCUAUUUUUUUUAUUAAUGAAUGCUCUCCAGAUUUUUGCACUUCUUUGGUUAAUUUCCAGAGUUCUGAAAAAAUUAAUCCUAGGGUUUUUUUUUUUUAACCAGUCUUUCCAUUACUUUUAUGGAGGAAACAAUUUUCAAAGGUCUUUUAUCCCACCAUUUUGUUGAUAUCAUUCACCCUUCUGUAUUGAAGUAUAUGAACAUAGAUCCUUAAUUUCUCAUGUUAAUUCAGAAGUUUUAAUGAAGAUGACCAUAACCUUCACAAGGGUACCCAAGGUACCUUUUCUUUGCAAAUAAAGAUGCUCUGCUGAAGAAAGUUAUCCAGCCUUUAACCAGUAAAUGUAGCUUUGUAGAUGUAGCUCCAGCAAAUGAAAACUUAAGCAACAGUUUAAAAAGGAAAGCUUUGUAGAGAUUUAGCAAGGACUUUUUUUUUUUUUUUUCUUUUUAGGGCCUCACUUAACAGCAUAUGGACGUUCCCAGGCUAGGGGUUAAAUUGUAGCCACAGCUGCCAACCUACACCACAGCCACAGCAAUGCCAGAUCCCUGACUCACUGAGUGAGGCCAGGGAUCCAACCCACAUCCUCAAGGAUACUAGUCAGGUCAUUUCUGUUGCAUCACAAUGGGAACUCUGGCAUGGACUCUUUAAAGGAACAAAGUGGAAGUUCAUUUUAGCUAAAAUGUGAGUGAGGACUAAAUUAGCAAUAUGCAUAACUGGUUUCAACCCAUGUUAAUGUUGUGUUUCCAUCUGUCUUUAUUACAUCACCUCAAAAAAGUUUAAUAUAUUAAAAGAAAUAAAAAGCAAUCAUUUCAGUUCUUUAUGGAAACAAACCUACUGCUUUAAAAGCACAAUUUGUUAUUUUAGAAGACAGCCCUUUUGGCUGAGCCCUUUUAUGAGUUAGAAAACAUGCUAUUUUUGCCAAACACAACAAAAAUAUAUUCUAAUAUUUGGUAGUUGAUUGUAUUGUCCACAUAGAUUGUUAAGUAAUGUAAUGUUUGUGUUAUAGUGAAGUUCCAAAUUUCUGGGUUACUUCUUGGAGAGAUUUGUUCCUGCUUCAUGAUGUUAUGAAGCAUGAAUAAUAAAUGCUUUCUCUUUAGACAUAAGAAAUAUCCUGAAAGAAUUUGUUUCAAUACAUUUUUUUCUGGUGGACAGUUUUUUAUUUCCAAACAGCAAGUUUACAUAAUAUCUCUAAACCCACAUGUUCACAGAAGGUUUCAGUUGCAUCAAUAAAACCAUCAUUAAAAUUACAAGGCUCAAUAAAAGACAUUUUUCUGUUUGAGUUUUUAGAUCAUAUUUUAUGAGUUUUAUGACUGUGUUGCUAGCAGUGUGUAAGAAAUGUGAUUGUAGAGCUUAGAUGUGGAACAUUCUCUACUACCCUACAUGCUAUCCUGCUCACAUCACACUCUUAAGUGAGAAUCCUGAUGAAAUGCCAGACAAAGUUCUAAAUACUUUUACAUGUAAAACUGUUCUAAACACUCUUAUGUAUAUACAGGUUACUAAUUGAAUUCACAUGUCACAUAUGAGCAAACAGUUAUAGAAAGGCCAAGUAACUUGCCCAAGAUCACAUACUUAAGUAAAUAGUUAUGUUAAAUUUACAUAAACCGUGUUCAGUAGAAGUAUAAUGUGUUUAUUCAUGUUUAUUCAAACACUUGUAUUUAUGUGGCUGUUCCAGGAAGCUUCAGUUCUUCGACACGUGGUCCACUCUGUAGGGUUUCCCCUGAGUGAGUGAUAUGAGCAAGCCCAAAACAGAAACCAGAGUCUUCUAUAACCUAAUCUCAGAAGUGACAUACUAUCAUUUCUUCUCUAUUCUUUUGAUCACACAGACAAAUCUGGUGCAGUCUGUGAAGGGACUGCACAAGGGUGUGAUUACCAGGCGACAGGGGCAGGAAUCACUAGGACCAUCUUGAAGGCCACCUAGCACAGAUAUUUUUG